This is a long non-coding RNA of Rhopalosiphum maidis (corn leaf aphid), 147 nucleotides long. RefSeq lists it as uncharacterized. The record is from RefSeq and is a predicted model, not a curated record. The transcript has 5 exons. Lineage: Eukaryota; Metazoa; Arthropoda; Insecta; Hemiptera; Aphididae.
UGUGACUUCCUACAAAAUUUAUAUACAUUUAAGUUAUUGGCUAUAAAUGAUUGGUGUACCAUUUUCGCAGAUAAACCGACUACUGGAGAUACCGGAAAAAGUGAAAAAAGUAAUCUAGAUUGUACAACUGAAUUGAAUAGGAAUGGG